This 324-nucleotide ribosomal RNA is filed under the name uncultured eukaryote. RNAcentral describes it as "partial 18S ribosomal RNA". It matches the Rfam family "Eukaryotic small subunit ribosomal RNA", at positions 1470 to 1796 of the family's 1831-position model. The record is from RNAcentral.
CCCUUAGAUGUUCUGGGCCGCGCGCGCGCUACACUGACGGAGUCAACGAGUUGUCCUGCAUCGGAAGGUGUGGGUAAUCUUUUGAAACUUCGUCGUGCUGGGGAUAGAUCUUUGCAAUUUUCGAUCUUGAACGAGGAAUUCCUAGUAAGCGUGAUUCAUCAGAUCGCGUUGAUUACGUCCCUGCCCUUUGUACACACCGCCCGUCGCUACUACCGAUUGAAUGGUUUAGUGAGGCCUCGGGACUGGCGCGCUCGAGUAGCAAUACACCUGCGCGCCGGGAACUUGGUCAAACUUGAUCAUUUAGAGGAAGUAAAAGUCGUAACA